GACGAACGCUGGCGGCGUGCUUAACACAUGCGAGUCGAACGAUGAACCCGGAGCUUGCUCUGGGGGAUUAGUGGCGAACGGGUGAGUAACACGUGAGUAACCUGCCCUGGACUCUGGGAUAAGCGUUGGAAACGACGUCUAAUACCGGAUAGGACCUUGGAUCGCAUGAUCUGGGGUGGAAAGUUUUUUCGGUCUGGGAUGGACUCGCGGCCUAUCAGCUUGUUGGUGAGGUAAUGGCUCACCAAGGCGUCGACGGGUAGCCGGCCUGAGAGGGUGACCGGCCACACUGGGACUGAGACACGGACCAGACUCCUGCGGGAGGCAGCAGUGGGGAAGAUGGCACAAUGGGCGAAGGCCUGAUGCAGCAACGCCGCGUGCGGGAUGACGGCCUUCGGGUUGUGAACCGCUUUUAGUAGGGAAGAAGGGCUUCGGCUUGACGGUACCUGCAGAAAAAGGACCGGCUAACUACGUG
RNAcentral lists this ribosomal RNA (472 nucleotides) under uncultured bacterium. RNAcentral describes it as "partial 16S ribosomal RNA". It matches the Rfam family "Bacterial small subunit ribosomal RNA", at positions 28 to 507 of the family's 1533-position model. The record is from RNAcentral.